AAAGACCCUAUGAAGCUUUACUGUAACUUGAAAUUGAAAUUGGACUUUACUCGCGCAGUAUAGGUGGGAGGCGUUGAUUAUAAUCUCGUGGGAUUAUUGGAGCCAUCAGUGAGAUACCACUCUUGUAAUGUUAGAUUUCUAACUUUGAAUCAUUAUCUGGUCAAAGGACAGUUUCAGGCGGGCAGUUUGACUGGGGCGGUCGCCUCCUAAACGGUAACGGAGGCGUACAAAGGUUUCCUCUGAACGGUUAGAAAUCGUAUCUAGAGUGUAAAGGCAUAAGGAAGCUUGACUGUGAGACCUACAAGUCGAGCAGGGACGAAAGUCGGUCUUAGUGAUCUGACGGUACUGAGUGGAAAGGCCGUCACUCAACGGAUAAAAGUUACUCUAGGGAUAACAGGCUGA
Molecule: ribosomal RNA, 402 nt
Filed under: Stephanodiscus minutulus
Lineage: Eukaryota; Bacillariophyta; Thalassiosirophyceae; Thalassiosirales; Thalassiosiraceae
Description: partial large subunit ribosomal RNA
Rfam family: Bacterial large subunit ribosomal RNA
Source: RNAcentral